AGAGUUUGAUCAUGGCUCAGAUUGAACGCUGGCGGCAGGCCUAACACAUGCAAGUCGAGCGGAAACGAGUUAUCUGAACCUUCGGGGAACGAUAACGGCGUCGAGCGGCGGACGGGUGAGUAAUGCCUAGGAAAUUGCCCUGAUGUGGGGGAUAACCAUUGGAAACGAUGGCUAAUACCGCAUGAUGCCUACGGGCCAAAGAGGGGGACCUUCGGGCCUCUCGCGUCAGGAUAUGCCUAGGUGGGAUUAGCUAGUUGGUGAGGUAAGGGCUCACCAAGGCGACGAUCCCUAGCUGGUCUGAGAGGAUGAUCAGCCACACUGGAACUGAGACACGGUCCAGACUCCUACGGGAGGCAGCAGUGGGGAAUAUUGCACAAUGGGCGCAAGCCUGAUGCAGCCAUGCCGCGUGUGUGAAGAAGGCCUUCGGGUUGUAAAGCACUUUCAGUCGUGAGGAAGGUAGUGUAGUUAAUAGCUGCAUUAUUUGACGUUAGCGACAGAAGAAGCACCGGCUAACUCCGUGCCAGCAGCCGCGGUAAUACGGAGGGUGCGAGCGUUAAUCGGAAUUACUGGGCGUAAAGCGCAUGCAGGUGGUUUGUUAAGUCAGAUGUGAAAGCCCGGGGCUCAACCUCGGAAUAGCAUUUGAAACUGGCAGACUAGAGUACUGUAGAGGGGGGUAGAAUUUCAGGUGUAGCGGUGAAAUGCGUAGAGAUCUGAAGGAAUACCGGUGGCGAAGGCGGCCCCCUGGACAGAUACUGACACUCAGAUGCGAAAGCGUGGGGAGCAAACAGGAUUAGAUACCCUGGUAGUCCACGCCGUAAACGAUGUCUACUUGGAGGUUGUGGCCUUGAGCCGUGGCUUUCGGAGCUAACGCGUUAAGUAGACCGCCUGGGGAGUACGGUCGCAAGAUUAAAACUCAAAUGAAUUGACGGGGGCCCGCACAAGCGGUGGAGCAUGUGGUUUAAUUCGAUGCAACGCGAAGAACCUUACCUACUCUUGACAUCCAGAGAACUUUUCAGAGAUGAAUUGGUGCCUUCGGGAACUCUGAGACAGGUGCUGCAUGGCUGUCGUCAGCUCGUGUUGUGAAAUGUUGGGUUAAGUCCCGCAACGAGCGCAACCCUUAUCCUUGUUUGCCAGCGAGUAAUGUCGGGAACUCCAGGGAGACUGCCGGUGAUAAACCGGAGGAAGGUGGGGACGACGUCAAGUCAUCAUGGCCCUUACGAGUAGGGCUACACACGUGCUACAAUGGCGCAUACAGAGGGCAGCCAACUUGCGAAAGUGAGCGAAUCCCAAAAAGUGCGUCGUAGUCCGGAUUGGAGUCUGCAACUCGACUCCAUGAAGUCGGAAUCGCUAGUAAUCGUGGAUCAGAAUGCCACGGUGAAUACGUUCCCGGGCCUUGUACACACCGCCCGUCACACCAUGGGAGUGGGCUGCAAAAGAAGUAGGUAGUUUAACCUUCGGGAGGACGCUUACCACUUUGUGGUUCAUGACUGGGGUGAAGUCGUAACAAGGUA
RNAcentral lists this ribosomal RNA (1511 nucleotides) under Vibrio sp. OB51-1. Its description in RNAcentral is "bacterial SSU rRNA". It matches the Rfam family "Bacterial small subunit ribosomal RNA". Lineage: Bacteria; Pseudomonadati; Pseudomonadota; Gammaproteobacteria; Vibrionales; Vibrionaceae. The record is from RNAcentral.